AUUGAACGCUGGCGGCAUGCCUUACACAUGCAAGUCGAACGGCAGCACGGGAGCAAUCCUGGUGGCGAGUGGCGAACGGGUGAGUAAAGUAUCGGAACGUGCCCAGUCGUGGGGGAUAACGUAGCGAAAGUUACGCUAAUACCGCAUACGAUCUAUGGAUGAAAGCGGGGGAUCGCAAGACCUCGCGCGAUUGGAGCGGCCGAUAUCAGAUUAGGUAGUUGGUGGGGUAAAGGCUCACCAAGCCGACGAUCUGUAGCUGGUCUGAGAGGACGACCAGCAACACUGGGACGGAGACACGGCCCAGACUCCUACGGGAGGCAGCAGUGGGGAAUUUUGGACAAUGGGCGAAAGCCUGAUCCAGCCAUGCCGCGUGAAGGAUGAAGGCCUUCGGGUUGUAAACUGCUUUUGUACGGAACGAAAAGGUUUGGCCUAAUAAGCUGAGCUCAUGACGGUACCGUAAGAAUAAGCACCGGCUAACUACGUGCCAGCAGCCGCCGUAA
This 500-nucleotide ribosomal RNA is filed under the name uncultured bacterium. Its description in RNAcentral is "partial 16S ribosomal RNA". It matches the Rfam family "Bacterial small subunit ribosomal RNA", at positions 30 to 523 of the family's 1533-position model. The record is from RNAcentral.